GGAUCGAUGAUGAUUCCCAAUAAAACAUUCCGUGGGGAGCUGAACAAAAUGAGUGAAUACUCAAUACUUCAAAUCUCAUCGAACCUGAGGUCC
This is a small nucleolar RNA of Apodemus sylvaticus (European woodmouse), 93 nucleotides long. RefSeq annotates it as small nucleolar RNA SNORD116. The record is from RefSeq and is a predicted model, not a curated record. The transcript has a single exon. Lineage: Eukaryota; Metazoa; Chordata; Mammalia; Rodentia; Muridae.